AUUGAACGCUGGCGGCAGGCCUAACACAUGCAAGUCGAGCGGGGACUUCGGUCCUAGCGGCGAACGGGUGAGUAAUGCUUGGGAAUCUGCCCAGUAGUGGGGGAUAACGUCCCGAAAGGGACGCUAAUACCGCAUACGUCCUACGGGAGAAAGAGGGGGAUCUUCGGACCUCUCGCUAUUGGAUGAGCCCAAGUCGGAUUAGCUAGUUGGUAGGGUAAUGGCCUACCAAGGCGACGAUCCGUAGCUGGUCUGAGAGGAUGAUCAGCCACACUGGAACUGAGACACGGUCCAGACUCCUACGGGAGGCAGCAGUGGGGAAUAUUGGACAAAGGGCGAAAGCCUGAUCCAGCCAUGCCGCGUGUGUGAAGAAGGCCUUCGGGUUGUAAAGCACUUUAAGCGGGGAGGAAGGUUCGCGGCCUAAUACGUCGCGGAAUUGACGUUACCCGCAGAAUAAGCACCGGCUAACUCUGUG
RNAcentral lists this ribosomal RNA (472 nucleotides) under uncultured bacterium. RNAcentral describes it as "partial 16S ribosomal RNA". It matches the Rfam family "Bacterial small subunit ribosomal RNA", at positions 30 to 507 of the family's 1533-position model. The record is from RNAcentral.